AACCUACUAAAUAGAUGGUUGAUCUAUUGUGAACCAGACUUCUUAGAGGGACAAGCAGCAAUUAGCUGCAUGAGAAAGAGCAAUAACAGGUCUGUGAUGCCCUUAGAUGUCCGGGGCUGCACGCGCGCUACACUGAAGGAAUCAACAUGCCUCUACCUAGCUCGAAAGAGUCAGGUAACCCGUUGAAACUCCUUCGUGAUUGGGAUAGGGACUUGCAAUUAUGGUCCUUGAACGAGGAAUUCCCAGUAAGUGUGGGUCAUCAGCUCGCGCUGAUUACGUCCCUG
Molecule: ribosomal RNA, 284 nt
Filed under: Tobrilidae sp. P-3_R4_NF1
Lineage: Eukaryota; Metazoa; Nematoda; Enoplea; Triplonchida; Tobrilidae
Also listed under: 1 other name
Description: partial small subunit ribosomal RNA
Rfam family: Eukaryotic small subunit ribosomal RNA
Source: RNAcentral